AGUGAACGCUGGCGGUAGGCCUAACACAUGCAAGUCGAACGGCAGCACAGUAAGAGCUUGCUCUUACGGGUGGCGAGUGGCGGACGGGUGAGGAAUACAUCGGGAUCUACUUUUUCGUGGGGGAUAACGUAGGGAAACUUACGCUAAUACCGCAUACGACCUACGGGUGAAAGCAGGGGAUCUUCGGACCUUGCGCGAUUGAAUGAGCCGAUGUCGGAUUAGCUAGUUGGCGGGGUAAAGGCCCACCAAGGCGGCGAUCCGUAGCUGGUCUGAGAGGAUGAUCAGCCACACUGGAACUUAGACACGGUCCAGACUCCUACGGGAGGCAGCAGUGGGGAAUAUUGGACAAUGGGCGCAAGCCUGAUCCAGCCAUACCGCGUGGGUGAAGAAGGCCUUCGGGUUGUAAAGCCCUUUUGUUGGGAAAGAAAAGCAGCAGGUUAAUACCCCGCUGUUCUGACGGUACCCAAAGAAUAAGCACCGGCUAACUUCGUG
Molecule: ribosomal RNA, 492 nt
Filed under: uncultured bacterium
Lineage: Bacteria
Description: partial 16S ribosomal RNA
Rfam family: Bacterial small subunit ribosomal RNA
Source: RNAcentral